Molecule: RNA transcript, 394 nt
Organism: Fragaria vesca subsp. vesca
Lineage: Eukaryota; Viridiplantae; Streptophyta; Magnoliopsida; Rosales; Rosaceae
Exons: 3
Source: RefSeq, a predicted model, not a curated record
AAAAAGUUGCCCUAAACCCCCUUUUCUGGUUGAUUCUCCUCUUCUCCUCACGUUGGCUAUUACUAUUUCUUCUCCAAGCAGGUCCGCAGAGGUAUAGUUUAUGGCGAUCAACCAAGAAAUAGGCUAGAUCUGUAUCUACCCAAAAAUUCUGAUGGGCCAAAACCAGUCAUUGCAUUUGUAACUGGUGGAGCCUGGAUUAUUGGGUGAGUGAUUGAUUCUUGUAUGUUUAUUUCUGAAUGGUUCCUUGAUGGUGUAGCAUGCAUAUCUGUUCGUUUUCGGAGUGUAAAGCUCAGUAGAGCUGAGAUGUAGAUUAAUCAGAUCACUAUUCUAGGAACAUGAGUCCAAUGCUUGAGUUGUAGCUCCAAUGUGAUGGUUUUGCUUCUCUUUUUCCCCC